This is a long non-coding RNA of Otolemur garnettii (small-eared galago), 1408 nucleotides long. RefSeq lists it as uncharacterized. The record is from RefSeq and is a predicted model, not a curated record. The transcript is spliced from 3 exons. NCBI's taxonomy places the organism in Eukaryota, Metazoa, Chordata, Mammalia, Primates, Galagidae.
UAUGACCCUGCAGUGUGUUUUCUGGCCUCUUUCCUCUUACUAGCUGUCAUCCCAAAAUGGCUGAGCUCUUGUCAAGGUGGUGAGGAUUCCUUCUCCACAGUCUCCAGGGCCCUGCUCACCUGCCAGCCCACCUUCAGGCAUUUCUGACCCUCAGGCUUCACACCAGCAUGUCCUUGCCGCAGACAGGGAACAGGACUCAGAGCUGUGUGGUGAGUGUGUCUGGUGUGUCCUUUGUGCCAAACACUCCGAGGUUGCUUGCCUGAGAACCCCAAAGAGGAAGCAGGCCCAGGGCAUCAAUGUCCAGUUCCAGCCCACAGCCCAGCCUAGGAGCCCAGGCAAGACCAAGACCCCCCACGUCCUUUUACAGUGCUCUGAGCAUUUGCUCUGCCACUAGGUUGGAAAGCCCAGUCCAGAGUGUCGCUGUCAGGACCCACUGUGGCCUCCCAGGGCCACCAGGAUGGGGACUCUUGUUUCUGGCAUCUGUGCCUCAGAGGGUUCAGCAGGGACCAGACACAGCCUGUCCCUGCCCUGGGCAGCCCCUGCGCCCACUUGUUGUCUGGACCCUGGUGAUCACCUCAAGAGAGUGCAACAGGACAUCCGUUGCUUCCUCCUGUCACACUCUGAUUCUGGAAGGGGGUUCUUCCGAUGGACACCCACAGGCCCUGGUUUCUUGGGCCCUCACAUUCCCACAGUGAUUUCCAGGGACCAUGUUUCUACUUCCUUGUGCCUCAUGUCAUGGCCAGGCCAUUACACACUGCCCACAAAUCAUGAAAAUCCCCCAAGGAGGGGCAAACCGUCUGCAAGUCAGCUCGCUGAGCUGAUUUGUUCUUAUCUUCUUAAACCAGAAUGACAGCUGUGCUAACAGGAGCCUCCAUCUACCUUGGGACUCCAUCCACACACUGAGCCUCUCGUCAUUGGUUAGCUGAGAACUGUUCAUAGGGCACUGUCCUCACGACUGUAGAAUCCAAAAGCUCCUGCCUGGAGGAGUACAGUGUCAGUCCUGGUGAAAAGAGGCCAGCUGCUUGGGGUGUAAUGUCCCUCUGUGUGGGCCUCUGUAGUACCUCUAUACAAAUAAAUGAAAUUUCCAUUUACUCUGGAAAUCGUCUGGGCACUGACCUCUCCGGUGGAGUGUUUUUCUGGCAUUGCCUAAGACAUUCUGGGUAUUCCAGGUCCCAGUGUUUUUUAUGUCCUUUGGUCACUGGAUGGUCUCAAUCAUAACCUCACACCAUCUACCUGUCUCUCAGAAAUUUUCUGGUCUUCAGUCCCAGUGGGAGCUGCUGGGUGGAGCUCAUGGGCCUUUCCAGGAGCCUGUGGGCCUCAGACAGUUCUGGGAUUCCCUCUGGCGUGCUGGGCUAGUAUCAGCUGAGGGCAGACCUGCCUUCUGUUUCACAGUGACACGUAGGGGAAG